AGUGAACGCUGGCGGUAGGCCUAACACAUGCAAGUCGAACGGCAGCAGAGUGCGUGCUUGUUCAUACGGCGGCCGAGGGGCGGAUGGGUGCGAGAAACCUGCGAGUCUGCUUUUUAGAGCGGGCGAACGUAGGGGCUAAUACGCCAUUCGCGCAUAGGACGUACGGGGGGAAUCUUGGGACCUUCCGCUCUUGGGUGAUUCUAUGUCGGAUUAGCUAGUUGGCGGGGUAAAGGCCUACCAAGGCGACGAUCCGUAACUGGUCUGAGAGGAUGAUCAGUCACACUGGAACUGAGACACGGUCCAGACUCCUACGGGAGGCAGCAGUGGGGAAUAUUGGACAAUGGGCGAAAGCCUGAUCCAGCCAUGCCGCGUGUGUGAAGAAGGUCUUCGGAUUGUAAAGCCCUUUUGGUGGGGAGGAAGGGCAGUAAGUUAAUACCUCGCUGUUUUGACGUUACCCAAAGAAUAAGCACCGGCUAACUUCGUG
Molecule: ribosomal RNA, 484 nt
Filed under: uncultured bacterium
Lineage: Bacteria
Description: partial 16S ribosomal RNA
Rfam family: Bacterial small subunit ribosomal RNA
Source: RNAcentral